UGGGGAAUAUUGCGCAAUGGGCGAAAGCCUGACGCAGCAACACCGCGUGAGGGAUGACGGCCUUCGGGUUGUAAACCUCUUUCAGCUCCGACGAAGCGAAAGUGACGGUAGGAGCAGAAGAAGCACCGGCUAACUACGUGCCAGCAGCCGCGGUAAUACGUAGGGUGCAAGCGUUGUCCGGAAUUAUUGGGCGUAAAGAGCUCGUAGGCGGUCCGUUGCGUCUGCCGUGAAAACCCGGAGCUCAACUCCGGGCCUGCGGUGGAUACGGGCGGACUAGAGUCCGGUAGGGGAGACUGGAAUUCCUGGUGUAGCGGUGGAAUGCGCAGAUAUCAGGAGGAACACCGGUGGCGAAGGCGGGUCUCUGGGCCGGAACUGACGCUGAGGAGCGAAAGCGUGGGGAGCGAACAGGAUUAGAUACCCUGGUAGUCCACGCCGUAAACGGUGGGCGCUAGGUGUGGGAUCGUUUCCACGAUCUCCGUGCCGUAGCUAACGCAUUAAGCGCCCCGCCU
Molecule: ribosomal RNA, 509 nt
Filed under: uncultured bacterium
Lineage: Bacteria
Description: bacterial SSU rRNA
Rfam family: Bacterial small subunit ribosomal RNA
Source: RNAcentral